UACGUAGGGUGCAAGCGUUGUCCGGAAUUAUUGGGCGUAAAGAGCUCGUAGGCGGCUUGUCGCGUCGGCUGUGAAAACUCGGGGCUCAACCCCGAGCCUGCAGUCGAUACGGGCAGGCUAGAGUCCGGCAGGGGAGACUGGAAUUCCUGGUGUAGCGGUGAAAUGCGCAGAUAUCAGGAGGAACACCGGUGGCGAAGGCGGGUCUCUGGGCCGGAACUGACGCUAAGGAGCGAAAGCGUGGGGAGCGAACAGG
RNAcentral lists this ribosomal RNA (253 nucleotides) under uncultured bacterium. RNAcentral describes it as "partial 16S ribosomal RNA". It matches the Rfam family "Bacterial small subunit ribosomal RNA", at positions 524 to 776 of the family's 1533-position model. The record is from RNAcentral.